UGAUGCGAUCAUACCAAGGCUACUACACCAGAUCCCAUCAGAACUCUGAAGUUAAGCGCCUUUGGGCCGGAAUAGUACUGGGAUGGGUGACCU
RNAcentral lists this ribosomal RNA (93 nucleotides) under Anacolia laevisphaera. Lineage: Eukaryota; Viridiplantae; Streptophyta; Bryopsida; Bartramiales; Bartramiaceae. The record is from RNAcentral.